Molecule: long non-coding RNA, 1119 nt
Organism: Austrofundulus limnaeus
Lineage: Eukaryota; Metazoa; Chordata; Actinopteri; Cyprinodontiformes; Rivulidae
Exons: 2
Source: RefSeq, a predicted model, not a curated record
GGGACAGGGGGGGCAAAGCUGGGUGGACCUAAAGCAGCAGCAGCUGCAGCUCUUAUCACCAUUUGAGAAGACUCCUAUGGACCUGAGGACGGCCACAGCUGCACGCAAACUCAUCUCCUGCAGGAUGUGAUCACCCUGCGUCAAGGAAAACUGUAAACAGUCCUGCGGCUCUCCUCCACGCUUGCUAAAGGUACAAAGUGUGAAGCCACGACUAAAGUUUCUCCUCUCGUGGAGCCCUGUCACUUCUGUCGUUUCAUCACGUUUAGGUUUUCCAGAACGGCCAAAAUACAGUCGAAGGAAAAAGAUAAAGCUACAUUUGUGCAGCACUGGCACAAAUUCAGAGCCAGAAACAGACAGAAACAUAAACUACAAGAAUUCCUCCAUAAAUUUAACGAAAUAAAACCUAACAUUUCUCGACAUGAAGCCCGCGUCCAGCUGCCCUUUGACCCCCCCGUCUUUCCCUCCCUGUAAUUUCACACUCUGAAUGACAAGCGUCCGCCCGAAGCUCGUCCUCAGACCGGCUGACCCUCUCGCUUCACGCAGACGUCACGUAAAAAAGAAAUAAAGGCCGGCCGCUUCAGACCAACGGGCCUGGAGUUAAAACGAGCGGCGGGGCUUUUAUGGCGCAGCCGCUGCACCGCAGCAAUUAGGUCCCGGCUGUAACUUUCAUCUUUCCACAAAAAGGGAGGAAUAAUAUGAGAGAAAUCCACACACCCAGARAAGGCACGAAGUUUAAGGGUUCUCAAAUGAACUUGGCAGAGUUCAAAAGGGACCCUCAUGGGGAGAAAAAAAGUGCAAAUGGAUGCUAAAACCAAUAAACUACUGUUUUUUUAACCAGCGUUAUUUGUUUGAAAGGGAUUUCUUACAUUUAUUUGAUUGGCAGACAGAAUAAACAACACAAAUCUAAAACCACUUUCCCUGAGUUCAACUAAAUCUGUGUCACUGAGGCCUGCAGCACUUCUGCUUGUUUUUACAACAAUGCCUUGACKAAAUAAGCACCUUUUAUUGUUCCACUCGGGAAACUUUUUAAAGGACGACCCCUCCCACAGCUCAGCAAAGACACCCUGCCCUUACGAGACCUAAACCUCCCGGGCAUGCUCACAAAAAAAAAAAAAAAAA